CGCACCUUGCACUCUUUGGUAUUCCGAAGAGUAUGUCUGUUUGAGUGUCAUGAAACUCUCAACCCCCCUAUUAUUGUAAUGAGAUGGGCGUGGGCUUGGAUUAUGGUUGUCUGUUGGCGUAAUUGCCGGCUCAACUGAAAUACACGAGCAACCCUACUGAAAUAAACGGUUUGACUUGGCGUAAUAAUUAUUUCGCUAAGGACGUUUUCUUCAAUUAUAAGAGGUGCUUCUAAUUCGCUUCUAAUAGCAUUUAAGCUUUAGACCUCAAAUCAGUCAGGACUACCCGCUGAACUUAA
Molecule: unclassified non-coding RNA, 296 nt
Filed under: Cystobasidium slooffiae
Lineage: Eukaryota; Fungi; Basidiomycota; Cystobasidiomycetes; Cystobasidiales; Cystobasidiaceae
Description: partial contains 5.8S ribosomal RNA, internal transcribed spacer 2, and large subunit ribosomal RNA
Source: RNAcentral